ACGCUGGCGGCAUGCCUAACACAUGCAAGUCGAACGCCCUCUUCGGAGGGAGUGGCGCACGGGUGCGUAACGCGUGGGAACCUGCCCUUAGGUUCGGAAUAACUCAGAGAAAUUUGAGCUAAUACCGGAUAAUGUCUUCGGACCAAAGAUUUAUCGCCCUGAGAUAAGCCCGCGUAGGAUUAGCUAGUUGGUGGGGUAAAGGCUCACCAAGGCGACGAUCCUUAGCUGGUCUGAGAGGAUGAUCAGCCACACUGGGACUGAGACACGGCCCAGACUCCUACGGGAGGCAGCAGUGGGGAAUAUUGGACAAUGGGCGAAAGCCUGAUCCAGCAAUGCCGCGUGAGUGAUGAAGGCCUUCGGGUUGUAAAGCUCUUUUACCCGAGAUGAUAAUGACAGUAUCGGGAGAAUAAGCUCCGGCUAACUCCGUG
Molecule: ribosomal RNA, 428 nt
Filed under: uncultured bacterium
Lineage: Bacteria
Description: bacterial SSU rRNA
Rfam family: Bacterial small subunit ribosomal RNA
Source: RNAcentral